RNAcentral lists this ribosomal RNA (490 nucleotides) under uncultured bacterium. RNAcentral describes it as "bacterial SSU rRNA". It matches the Rfam family "Bacterial small subunit ribosomal RNA", at positions 17 to 518 of the family's 1533-position model. The record is from RNAcentral.
UUCUGGCUCAGGAUGAACGCUGGCGGCGUGCUUAACACAUGCAAGUCGAACGGAGUUACAUGAAACCUAGUGAUUGUAAACUUAGUGGCGGACGGGUGAGUAACGCGUGGGUAACCUGCCGUAUGCCGGGGGACAACAGUUGGAAACGACUGCUAAUACCGCAUAAGCGCACAGGAUCGCAUGAUCCAGUGUGAAAAACUCCGGUGGCAUACGAUGGACCCGCGUCUGAUUAGGCAGUUGGUGAGGUAACGGCCCACCAAACCUACGAUCAGUAGCCGGCCUGAGAGGGUGAACGGCCACAUUGGGACUGAGACACGGCCCAAACUCCUACGGGAGGCAGCAGUGGGGAAUAUUGCACAAUGGGGGAAACCCUGAUGCCAGCGACGCCGCGUGAGUGAAGAAGUAUUUCGGUAUGUAAAGCUCUAUCAGCAGGAAAGAAAAUGACGGUACCUGACUAAGAAGCCCCGGCUAACUACGUGCCAGCCGCGGC